GCCCGUACCCUAAACCGACUCAGGUGGUCAGGUAGAGUAUACCGAGGCGUUCGAGUGAAUCGUGGUUAAGGAACUCGGCAAAAUUCCUCCGUAACUUCGGGAUAAGGAGGACCCCGUGACUUCCCAAUGCUUUGCGUGUUGGUGGGGUUGUGGGGUCGCAGAGAAUAGGGAGAAGCGACUGUUUAUCAAAAACACAGGUGCGUGCGAAGCCGUAAGGCGAUGUAUACGCACUGACGCCUGCCCGGUGCUGGAAGGUUAAGAGGAACCGUCAGCUGACUUUUGUUGGUGAAGCGGUGAAUUUAAGCCCCAGUAAACGGCGGUGGUAACUAUAACCAUCCUAAGGUAGCGAAAUUCCUUGUCGGGUAAGUUCCGACCUGCACGAAUGGCGUAACGACUUCUCCGCUGUCUCAACCGCGAACUCGGUGAAAUUGCAGUACGAGUAAAGAUGCUCGUUUCGCGCAGAAGGACGGAAAGACCCCGGGACCUUUACUAUAGCUUGGUAUUGGUGUUCGCUUGGACUUGUGUAGGAUAGGUGGGAGACUGUGAAGCUGCCGCGCCAGCGGUGGUGGAGUCGUCGUUGAAAUACCAUUCUGGUUCAAGCGGUCACCUCAACCUUGGCCCGUGAUCCGGGUUGGGGACAGUGCCUGGUGGGUAGUUUAACUGGGGCGGUUGCCUCCUAAAAUGUAACGGAGGCGCUCAAAGGUUCCCUCAGCCUGGUUGGUAAUCAGGUGGCGAGUGCAAGUGUACAAGGGAGCUUGACUGUGAGACCGACGGGUCGAGCAGGUGCGAAAGCAGGAACUAGUGAUCCGGCCAUGGCACGUGGGUGCGUGGUCGCUCAACGGAUAAAAGGUACCCCGGGGAUAACAGGCUGAUCUUGCCCAAGAGUCCAUAUCGACGGCAUGGUUUGGCACCUCGAUGUCGGCUCGUCGCAUCCUGGGGCUGGAGUCGGUCCCAAGGGUUGGGCUGUUCGCCCAUUAAAGCGGUACGCGAGCUGGGUUCAGAACGUCGUGAGACAGUUCGGUCCCUAUCCUCUGUGCGCGCAGGAAAUUUGAGGAGGGCCGUCCCUAGUACGAGAGGACCGGGAUGGACGAACCUCUGGUGUGCCAGUUGUACCGCCAGGUGCAUGGCUGGUUAGCUACGUUCGGAAGGGAUAACCGCUGAAAGCAUCUAAGCGGGAAGCCUGCUCCAAGAUGAGGUUUCCGCGCCCCACUUGUGGGGUGAGAGGCCCCCGCCAGACGAGCGGGUUGAUAGGCCAGAGGUGGAAGCACCGCGAGGUGCUCGUGAGCCGACUGGUACUAAUGGGCCAACACUAAACAAC
Molecule: ribosomal RNA, 1318 nt
Filed under: human metagenome
Description: bacterial LSU rRNA
Rfam family: Bacterial large subunit ribosomal RNA
Source: RNAcentral